RNAcentral lists this ribosomal RNA (470 nucleotides) under Escherichia coli. Its description in RNAcentral is "bacterial SSU rRNA". It matches the Rfam family "Bacterial small subunit ribosomal RNA", at positions 1 to 467 of the family's 1533-position model. Lineage: Bacteria; Pseudomonadati; Pseudomonadota; Gammaproteobacteria; Enterobacterales; Enterobacteriaceae. The record is from RNAcentral.
AAAUUGAAGAGUUUGAUCAUGGCUCAGAUUGAACGCUGGCGGCAGGCCUAACACAUGCAAGUCGAACGGUAACAGGAAGCAGCUUGCUGCUUCGCUGACGAGUGGCGGACGGGUGAGUAAUGUCUGGGAAACUGCCUGAUGGAGGGGGAUAACUACUGGAAACGGUAGCUAAUACCGCAUAACGUCGCAAGACCAAAGAGGGGGACCUUCGGGCCUCUUGCCAUCGGAUGUGCCCAGAUGGGAUUAGCUAGUAGGUGGGGUAACGGCUCACCUAGGCGACGAUCCCUAGCUGGUCUGAGAGGAUGACCAGCCACACUGGAACUGAGACACGGUCCAGACUCCUACGGGAGGCAGCAGUGGGGAAUAUUGCACAAUGGGCGCAAGCCUGAUGCAGCCAUGCCGCGUGUAUGAAGAAGGCCUUCGGGUUGUAAAGUACUUUCAGCGGGGAGGAAGGGAGUAAAGUUAAUACC